Molecule: ribosomal RNA, 253 nt
Filed under: uncultured bacterium
Lineage: Bacteria
Description: partial 16S ribosomal RNA
Rfam family: Bacterial small subunit ribosomal RNA
Source: RNAcentral
GACAGAGGUGCCGAGCGUUAGGCGGAAUCACUGGGCUUAAAGCGUGUGUAGGCGGAUCGUUAAGUACCUUGUGAAAUCCCAUGGCUCAACCAUGGAACUGCUUGGUAUACUGGCGGUCUUGAGCCAGCUAGGGGCUACCGGAACAAAUGGUGGAGCGGUGAAAUGCGUAGAUAUCAUUUGGAACGCCAAUGGUGAAAACAGGUAGCUGGGGCUGUGCUGACGCUGAGGCACGAAGGCCAGGGGAGCAAACGGG